CCUACGGGUGGCAGCAGUGGGGAAUAUUGCACAAUGGGGGAAACCCUGAUGCAGCGAAGCCGCGUGAGUGAAGACGUAUUUAGGUGUGUAAAGCUCUAUCAGCAGGGAAGAAGCAAGACGGUACCUGACUAAGAAGCCCCGGCUAAAUACGUGCCAGCAGCCGCGGUAAUACGUAGGGGGCAGGCGUUAUCCGGAUUUACUGGGUGUAAAGGGAGCGUAGACGGUAUGGCAAGUCUGAAGUGAAAGCCCAGGGCUUAACCCGGGGACUGCUUCGGAAACUGUUGGACUAGAGUGCGGGAGAGGUAAGUGGAAGUCGUAGUGUAGCGGUGAAAUGCUUAGAUAUUAGGAGGAACACCAGUGGCGAAGGCGGCUUACUGGACAGUAACUGACGUUGAGGCUCGAAAGCGUGGGGAUCGAACAGGAUUAGAUACCCCAGUAGUC
This 441-nucleotide ribosomal RNA is filed under the name uncultured bacterium. RNAcentral describes it as "partial 16S ribosomal RNA". It matches the Rfam family "Bacterial small subunit ribosomal RNA", at positions 338 to 795 of the family's 1533-position model. The record is from RNAcentral.